This 646-nucleotide ribosomal RNA is filed under the name uncultured marine eukaryote. RNAcentral describes it as "SSU rRNA". It matches the Rfam family "Eukaryotic small subunit ribosomal RNA", at positions 621 to 1285 of the family's 1831-position model. The record is from RNAcentral.
AAAAAGCUCGUAGUCGGAUUUUGGCUGAGAACGGUCGGUCCGCCGUUAGGUGUGCACUGACUGGUCUCAGCUUCCUGGUGAGGAGGUGUGCUUUAUCGCCACUUAGUCACCGUGGUUACUUUGAAAAAAUUAGAGUGUUCAAAGCGGGCUUACGCUUGAAUAUAUUAGCAUGGAAUAACACCAUAGGACUCCUGUCCUAUUUCGUUGGUCUCGGGACGGGAGUAAUGAUUAAGAGGAACAGUUGGGGGCAUUCGUAUUUCAUUGUCAGAGGUGAAAUUCUUGGAUUUAUGAAAGACGAACUUCUGCGAAAGCAUUUGCCAAGGAUGUUUUCAUUGAUCAAGAACGAAAGUUAGGGGAUCGAAGACGAUCAGAUACCGUCCUAGUCUUAACCAUAAACUAUGCCGACUAGAGAUUGGGGGCCGUCUUUAUAUGACGCCCUCAGCAUCUUGAGAGAAAUCAGAGUCUUUGGGUUCCGGGGGGAGUAUGGUCGCAAGGCUGAAACUUAAAGGAAUUGACGGAAGGGCACCACCAGGAGUGGAGCCUGCGGCUUAAUUUGACUCAACACGGGGAAACUUACCAGGUCCAGACAUAGUAAGGAUUGACAGAUUGACAGCUCUUUCUUGAUCCUAUGGGGUGGGUGGUGCAU